RNAcentral lists this ribosomal RNA (466 nucleotides) under uncultured bacterium. RNAcentral's name for it is "bacterial SSU rRNA". It matches the Rfam family "Bacterial small subunit ribosomal RNA", at positions 329 to 792 of the family's 1533-position model. The record is from RNAcentral.
UUCCAGACUCCUACGGGAGGCAGCAGUGAGGAAUAUUGGUCAAUGGGCGGAAGCCUGAACCAGCCAAGUCGCGUGAGGGACUAAGGCCCUGCGGGUCGUAAACCUCUUUUGCCGGGGAGCAGUGGUCCGGACGCGUCCGGACCGGGAGAGUACCCGGAGAAAAAGCAUCGGCUAACUCCGUGCCAGCAGCCGCGGUAAUACGGAGGAUGCGAGCGUUAUCCGGAUUUAUUGGGUUUAAAGGGUGCGUAGGCGGGCAUUUAAGCCGGCGGUCAAAUCGCGGGGCUCAACCCCGCCCAGCCGUCGGAACUGGCAGUCUCGAGUUGGAGAGAAGUAUGCGGAAUGCGCGGUGUAGCGGUGAAAUGCAUAGAUAUCGCGCAGAACUCCGAUUGCGAAGGCAGCAUGCCGGCUCCACACUGACGCUGAGGCACGAAAGCGUGGGUAUCGAACAGGAUUAGAUACCCCCGUA